Molecule: ribosomal RNA, 468 nt
Filed under: uncultured bacterium
Lineage: Bacteria
Description: partial 16S ribosomal RNA
Rfam family: Bacterial small subunit ribosomal RNA
Source: RNAcentral
GACGAACGCUGGCGGCGUGCUUAACACAUGCGAGUCGAACGGAAAGGCCCUGCUUUUGUGGGGUGCUCGAGUGGCGAACGGGUGAGUAACACGUGAGUAACCUGCCCUUGACUUUGGGAUAACUUCAGGAAACUGGGGCUAAUACCGGAUAGGAGCUCCUGCUGCAUGGUGGGGGUUGGAAAGUUUCGGCGGUUGGGGAUGGACUCGCGGCUUAUCAGCUUGUUGGUGGGGUAGUGGCUUACCAAGGCUUUGACGGGUAGCCGGCCCGAGAGGGUGACCGGCCACAUUGGGACUGAGAUACGGCCCAGACUCCUACGGGAGGCAGCAGUGGGGAAUAUUGCACAAUGGGCGGAAGCCUGAUGCAGCAACGCCGCGUGCGGGAUGACGGCCUUCGGGUUGUAAACCGCUUUCGCCUGUGACGAAGCGUGAGUGACGGUAAUAGGUAAAGAAGCACCGGCUAACUACGUG